UGAACACGAAUCUUAAGCUUGAUGAUGA
RNAcentral lists this non-coding RNA (28 nucleotides) under Bombyx mori (domestic silkworm). The record is from RNAcentral. Lineage: Eukaryota; Metazoa; Arthropoda; Insecta; Lepidoptera; Bombycidae.